Pelobates cultripes (western spadefoot toad) is the source of this 221-nucleotide non-coding RNA. The record is from the annotation of a GenBank genome assembly. NCBI's taxonomy places the organism in Eukaryota, Metazoa, Chordata, Amphibia, Anura, Pelobatidae.
GUGUGUAUCUGUGAAUUUCUCAGUAUAUGUCUUUAUGUCAUUGUGUCUGCCAGUGUGUGUGUGUGUGUAUCUGUGAAUGUCUCAGUAUAUGUCUGUAUGUCAUUGUGUCUGCCAGUGUGUGUGUGUCAAUGUGUGUGUGUGUAUCUGUGAAUGUCUCAGUAUAUGUCUGUAUGUCAUUGUGUCUGCCAGUGUGUGUCAAUGUGUGUGUGUGUGUAUCUGUG